Rhopalosiphum padi (bird cherry-oat aphid) is the source of this 926-nucleotide long non-coding RNA. RefSeq lists it as uncharacterized. The transcript has 3 exons. Lineage: Eukaryota; Metazoa; Arthropoda; Insecta; Hemiptera; Aphididae. The record is from RefSeq and is a predicted model, not a curated record.
GCCAGUUGGACCCCGUGAUAAGAGUUGGACCCCGUGAUAAGAAAUUAUAGGUGAUAACAGAAAUUAAAAGUUCGAACACUAACCUCAAAUCGCAAAAAUUCAAAUUAAUACCAACUAUUCAACAUUGUAAAUAAUUCUACUACGAUUUUUGAGUAUAUAAAUUUCUCAGCCUGGUCCCCCGAACCAGAUACAUUAUUUAUCCGUCGUAUUCUGUCGGUCGAAAUUAAUAAAUUACCGUUAUUCAACAUUUUAACGACUUUAACGGGCAACGAAUAACGAUUACUUGUUUUACGUUUGCUGCCCCUGGCUGGAAGUUUGGUUCAACAUUUAACAUAAGUAAAACUUGUGUAUAGUAAGUGCCUAAAUCAAUUGUUUGUAAUAUAUUUGAAUGUUUAUUAAUUAAUUAAUAUCCAACUAGUACAUGUUUAACAUAAUUAACAGUGUAACAACAAUUCAUAACAAAAUUAAUCUGAAAGAAAAAUACUACAAGGAUUAUCAGAGAAUCUGUACAGUAACUGAACAGAAACAAUGAUCUGUUGAUGUUUUUGAAGAGGACUGUUCUCCAAAAUCAUGACUAUGUCCACAACAAAUUGGACCUUAGUACCUAUGUUGUAAAUACUGUGAAUAUUGUAAUUCAUUUAAAUUUAAUUUUCUACUUGUCCACUUACAAAAAACUAUUCAACUGGGGAAUUAAUUGUACUUAUUAUUGUAGGCGGUCUGUUAUUGUUCAAUGUUAUAAAUUAUAAUAUUCCUUUUAUUAUUAAAUUAUGUAAUUUAUUAAGUUUAUUGUUAUUGAAUUAUUUUAUUUAUAAAAUUUACUGUUAUUUAAUUAUAUUAUUAUUAAGUGAGUAACUACCAGUAAAAAAUUAUACUUUAUUUUUUCAAAAAUGAUGAUUUUAAAAUAAAUUAUAGAGUUAAUAAACUAA